This is a non-coding RNA of Gossypium hirsutum (cotton), 146 nucleotides long. The record is from Rfam. Lineage: Eukaryota; Viridiplantae; Streptophyta; Magnoliopsida; Malvales; Malvaceae.
UGUUAAAAAUUUCAUCCAUUUAUACUGUUAAAAACUAGCAUGGCUAAUAGAAUAACCAAACAGUGACACAUGGUGUGCCAUGUGUACCUCCUGCUAACAUAUAAGGAUCAAUUUUUUUAAAGUAGAAAUAGAUGGAAUUUUUAAUA